CCAUUUCAUUGAAACCUAAAAAUAGAAAAGGGUGAGAGGAGUGAGGGACGCUCUGCCUAGGGUUUUUGCGUGCAGCCUCCCUCCACGAACGUCGACGGCGCGGCGAACGCUACUAUGGCAUCGUCAUGGCUAAGGUGGACGGCCGGAUAUGCAGAGGGAAGGAGGAGAUAGCUAAACAGGGAAACGAAGAAAGGGAGAGGCUGGUGGCUGCCACCAGAAAUCGUUUCCGACGGUGGCGUGCAGUUCGUCUCGGUCGAGCAUAGUAAAGGUCCACGAAAAAGGCUAAAGGCCGACGAUGCCGCCAGCGGAAAUCGCCUCCAACAGCGCCGCGCGGCGGUACACGGCGACAUUCGCGGUGGCCGGAAAUCACCUCCGGCAGCGGUGCAUAAUGGUGUUCACGGGAAGCACCAUUUUUUGCUAAUGCUUUUGGAAGCAUAUAUGGCAGGAGAAUGCUCUUGGGGACAUGUUGGUGGCUAGGGCAGAGGAGCUCAAGAAGCUUGUUGGAGGAGAAAUAAUCCUACAGUAAAGUGUAGGAUAGGGGUGUUCAAAAAAAUCAAAAGAACCGAACUGGAUUUAAAAUUGUACUGUACCAUUUUAAAAAAACUAGAACCAAUUGUAAAAAAAAAAAGGACUAGAUAUAUAUUUUUAAAUAUAAGUUUAAAAUCCGAACCUAUUUUUUAAGAGGGUCGGUUCACUUAAAACUAAAAGAACCGAACUGGAUUUAAACUGUACUGUACCACUGGUGCUUUCGCGUCAGGCAUUGUUUUCGCUGUUGUCGGGGAUGAUGGUUCUGUUUGGGUGUGGGGGAAGUCAAAACGCGGUCAACUCCCUUGGCAAACAUGUCACUGAGGCUAUUGUGCCUACCAAAAUGGAAGCACUUUCUGGAGAGAACGUAGCCAAGGUUUCGUUUGGAUGGGGGCAUGCUCUUUGCUCGAACUUCGGAUGGAAAGUUGCUCGAACCUAAUUGUUUAAAGCUGGUACAUUUCUUAAAAUUAGUUAAAAUCAGUUUAUUUCUUAAAAUCAGUUUUAAAAACUGGUUUGGUUUUGAAACUGGUUUUAAACCGAUUAUAAACCUGUUUAUUAAAAUAAUUCAGUUUUAAAUCGAUUUAUUAAAGUGGUUCAAAUGGUUUAUAAACUGGUUCAAUUUAAUAAAAUGGUGUGGUUCGGUUCAAUGUGGUUUUUUGGAAAAACCAAACCAUGCACACUCUUAGUGUAGGAUGGCAGAGAUCUUGGGUGCAGAGGAAAAGAUUGUUUUGUUAUUUUCUUGUCUUUUUCUGAUUUUCUUUUAUAUUUUUUUUAUUUAUUAUUUAUGCUUAUUGUGUGUAUUUUUUGAGUUUAAAUCUAGUUUGUAAAUUAUUUGUUCUUGGAUUAUUAAUUUGAAAAUUUUGGGAAAUAAAUUAGUAGAAAAAUUAGUAGGAUAAAAAAUUGGUGUUUACAGU
Non-coding RNA from Cajanus cajan (pigeon pea), 1439 nucleotides. NCBI's taxonomy places the organism in Eukaryota, Viridiplantae, Streptophyta, Magnoliopsida, Fabales, Fabaceae. The record is from RefSeq and is a predicted model, not a curated record.